RNAcentral lists this ribosomal RNA (253 nucleotides) under uncultured bacterium. RNAcentral's name for it is "partial 16S ribosomal RNA". It matches the Rfam family "Bacterial small subunit ribosomal RNA", at positions 524 to 776 of the family's 1533-position model. The record is from RNAcentral.
UACGUAGGGUGCAAGCGUUGUCCGGAAUUAUUGGGCGUAAAGAGCUCGUAGGCGGUUUGUCGCGUCUGCUGUGAAAACUCGGGGCUUAACUCCGGGCCUGCAGUCGAUACGGGCAGACUAGAGUUCGGUAGGGGAGACUGGAAUUCCUGGUGUAGCGGUGAAAUGCGCAGAUAUCAGGAGGAACACCGGUGGCGAAGGCGGGUCUCUGGGCCGAUACUGACGCUGAGGAGCGAAAGCGUGGGGAGCGAACAGG